This 1606-nucleotide ribosomal RNA is filed under the name Escherichia coli O26:H11. Its description in RNAcentral is "bacterial LSU rRNA". It matches the Rfam family "Bacterial large subunit ribosomal RNA", at positions 1337 to 2925 of the family's 2925-position model. The record is from RNAcentral. Lineage: Bacteria; Pseudomonadati; Pseudomonadota; Gammaproteobacteria; Enterobacterales; Enterobacteriaceae.
CCGGAAGACCAAGGGUUCCUGUCCAACGUUAAUCGGGGCAGGGUGAGUCGACCCCUAAGGCGAGGCCGAAAGGCGUAGUCGAUGGGAAACAGGUUAAUAUUCCUGUACUUGGUGUUACUGCGAAGAGGGGACGGAGAAGGCUAUGUUGGCCGGGCGACGGUUGUCCCGGUUUAAGCGUGUAGGCUGGUUUUCCAGGCAAAUCCGGAAAAUCAAGGCUGAGGCGUGAUGACGAGGCACUGCGGUGCUGAAGCAACAAAUGCCCUGCUUCCAGGAAAAGCCUCUAAGCAUCAGGUAACAUCAAAUCGUACCCCAAACCGACACAGGUGGUCAGGUAGAGAAUACCAAGGCGCUUGAGAGAACUCGGGUGAAGGAACUAGGCAAAAUGGUGCCGUAACUUCGGGAGAAGGCACGCUGAUAUGUAGGUGAAGUCCCUCGCGGAUGGAGCUGAAAUCAGUCGAAGAUACCAGCUGGCUGCAACUGUUUAUUAAAAACACAGCACUGUGCAAACACGAAAGUGGACGUAUACGGUGUGACGCCUGCCCGGUGCCGGAAGGUUAAUUGAUGGGGUUAGCGCAAGCGAAGCUCUUGAUCGAAGCCCCGGUAAACGGCGGCCGUAACUAUAACGGUCCUAAGGUAGCGAAAUUCCUUGUCGGGUAAGUUCCGACCUGCACGAAUGGCGUAAUGAUGGCCAGGCUGUCUCCACCCGAGACUCAGUGAAAUUGAACUCGCUGUGAAGAUGCAGUGUACCCGCGGCAAGACGGAAAGACCCCGUGAACCUUUACUAUAGCUUGACACUGAACAUUGAGCCUUGAUGUGUAGGAUAGGUGGGAGGCUUUGAAGUGUGGACGCCAGUCUGCAUGGAGCCGACCUUGAAAUACCACCCUUUAAUGUUUGAUGUUCUAACGUUGACCCGUAAUCCGGGUUGCGGACAGUGUCUGGUGGGUAGUUUGACUGGGGCGGUCUCCUCCUAAAGAGUAACGGAGGAGCACGAAGGUUGGCUAAUCCUGGUCGGACAUCAGGAGGUUAGUGCAAUGGCAUAAGCCAGCUUGACUGCGAGCGUGACGGCGCGAGCAGGUGCGAAAGCAGGUCAUAGUGAUCCGGUGGUUCUGAAUGGAAGGGCCAUCGCUCAACGGAUAAAAGGUACUCCGGGGAUAACAGGCUGAUACCGCCCAAGAGUUCAUAUCGACGGCGGUGUUUGGCACCUCGAUGUCGGCUCAUCACAUCCUGGGGCUGAAGUAGGUCCCAAGGGUAUGGCUGUUCGCCAUUUAAAGUGGUACGCGAGCUGGGUUUAGAACGUCGUGAGACAGUUCGGUCCCUAUCUGCCGUGGGCGCUGGAGAACUGAGGGGGGCUGCUCCUAGUACGAGAGGACCGGAGUGGACGCAUCACUGGUGUUCGGGUUGUCAUGCCAAUGGCACUGCCCGGUAGCUAAAUGCGGAAGAGAUAAGUGCUGAAAGCAUCUAAGCACGAAACUUGCCCCGAGAUGAGUUCUCCCUGACUCCUUGAGAGUCCUGAAGGAACGUUGAAGACGACGACGUUGAUAGGCCGGGUGUGUAAGCGCAGCGAUGCGUUGAGCUAACCGGUACUAAUGAACCGUGAGGCUUAACC